UACGGGGGGAGCAAGCGUUGUUCGGAUUUACUGGGCGUAAAGGGCGCGUAGGCGGUCAGCACAAGUCAGUUGUGAAAUCUCCGGGCUUAACUCGGAACGGUCAACUGAUACUGUGCGACUAGAGUGCAGAAGGGGCAACUGAAUUCGUCGGUGUAGCGGUGAAAUGCGUAGAUAUCGAGAGGAACACCUGCGGCGAAGGCGGGUUGCUGGGCUGACACUGACGCUGAGGUGCGAAAGCGUGGGGAGCAAACAGG
This 254-nucleotide ribosomal RNA is filed under the name uncultured bacterium. RNAcentral describes it as "partial 16S ribosomal RNA". It matches the Rfam family "Bacterial small subunit ribosomal RNA", at positions 524 to 776 of the family's 1533-position model. The record is from RNAcentral.